AAGUAUGCAUGUGCUCAUCUGUGAAGUAAACUUCUCACGAGAAAGUGAUCAGUUGAUAUUUAGGCUGAAGAUAACUGGCCCUGUCUUCAGUGUGAAAAGAAUGACUCAGAGACAGAUUGUCUCAAGUGCCGUCUCCCACUGACUGGGGAGAAAAUGUGUGCAUGAUGGCCCUAAACACGUCUUGGUUUUGCUGAUGAGCUCCUCCUAGCAAGACAGAUAAAGCACAUUACAAGUGCACUCACUUGAAGAAGUACUGCAGAAGCACUGUAGCAAUUAUAAUGAUAAC
RNAcentral lists this long non-coding RNA (286 nucleotides) under Phasianus colchicus (ring-necked pheasant). RNAcentral describes it as "lncRNA (ENSPCLG00000000817.1)". The record is from RNAcentral. Lineage: Eukaryota; Metazoa; Chordata; Aves; Galliformes; Phasianidae.